This 403-nucleotide ribosomal RNA is filed under the name uncultured bacterium. Its description in RNAcentral is "bacterial SSU rRNA". It matches the Rfam family "Bacterial small subunit ribosomal RNA", at positions 143 to 533 of the family's 1533-position model. The record is from RNAcentral.
AUAACGGUUCCAACGAGCCGCUAAUACCGGAUAGAUUAGUCUGGUCGCAUGGCUGGAUUAGAAAGUCGCAAUUGCGACGUUCAGGGAUGAGUUCGCGUCCCAUUAGCUAGUUGCGGGGUAAAGGCCCACCAAGGCGACGAUGGGUAGCCGGCCUGAGAGGGUGAUCGGCCACAUUGGGACUGAGAUACGGCCCAGACUCCUACGGGAGGCAGCAGUAGGGAAUUUUGCGCAAUGGACGAAAGUCUGACGCAGCAAUACCGUGUGAGGGAUGAAGCAUUUCGGUGUGUAAACCUCUGUCGAUGAUGAAUAAAGCAUUCGAGAGUGGAAAGCUCGGGGUGUUGAAGGUAAUCAUGAAGGAAGCACCGGCUAACUCUGUGCCAGCAGCCGCGGUAAUACAGGGGGU